Molecule: microRNA, 19 nt
Filed under: Ciona intestinalis (vase tunicate)
Lineage: Eukaryota; Metazoa; Chordata; Ascidiacea; Phlebobranchia; Cionidae
Description: cin-miR-4101-3p
Source: miRBase by way of RNAcentral
UAGGUUGUUGUAUAUGUGG